This 490-nucleotide ribosomal RNA is filed under the name uncultured bacterium. RNAcentral's name for it is "bacterial SSU rRNA". It matches the Rfam family "Bacterial small subunit ribosomal RNA", at positions 28 to 507 of the family's 1533-position model. The record is from RNAcentral.
GAUGAACGCUAGCUACAGGCUUAACACAUGCAAGUCGAGGGGCAGCAUGGACAUAGCUUGCUAUGUUUGAUGGCGACCGGCGCACGGGUGCGUAACACGUAUCCAAUCUGCCCGUUACUCGGGGAUAGCCUUGCGAAAGUAAGAUUAAUACCGGAUGUUGUUAAAAACCCGCAUGAGUUUUUAACCAAAGAUUUAUUGGUAAUGGAUGGGGAUGCGUGACAUUAGGUAGUUGGUGAGGUAACGGCUCACCAAGCCUACGAUGUCUAGGGGUUCUGAGAGGAAGGUCCCCCACACUGGAACUGAGACACGGUCCAGACUCCUACGGGAGGCAGCAGUGAGGAAUAUUGGUCAAUGGACGAGAGUCUGAACCAGCCAAGUAGCGUGCAGGAUGACGGCCCUCUGGGUUGUAAACUGCUUUUAGUUGGGAAUAAAAAGAGGGACGUGUCCCUAAUUGUAUGUACCAUCAGAAAAAGGACCGGCUAAUUCCGUG